AGUGAACGCUGGCGGUAGGCCUAACACAUGCAAGUCGAACGGCAGCACAGUAAGAGCUUGCUCGUACGGGUGGCGAGUGGCGGACGGUUGGGGAAUACAGCGGAAUCUACUUUUUCGUGGGGGAUAACGUAGGGAAACUUACGCUAAUACCGCAUACGACCGACGGGUGAAAGCAGGGGAUCUUCGGACCUUGCGCGAUUGAAUGAGCCGAUGUCGGAUUAGCUAGUUGGCGGGGUAAAGGCCCACCAAGGCGACGAUCCGUAGCUGGUCUGAGAGGAUGAUCAGCCACACUGGAACUGAGACACGGUCCAGACUCCUACGGGGGGCAGCAGUGGGGAAUAUUGGAGAAUGGGCGCAAGCCUGAUCCAGCCAUACCGCGUGGGUGAAGAAGGCCUUCGGGUUGUAAAGCCCUUUUGUUGGGAAAGAAAAGCAGCAGGUUAAUACCCCGCUGUUCUGACGGUACCCAAAGAAUAAGCACCGGCUAACUUCGUG
This 492-nucleotide ribosomal RNA is filed under the name uncultured bacterium. RNAcentral describes it as "partial 16S ribosomal RNA". It matches the Rfam family "Bacterial small subunit ribosomal RNA", at positions 29 to 507 of the family's 1533-position model. The record is from RNAcentral.